Molecule: non-coding RNA, 1072 nt
Organism: Podarcis lilfordi (Lilford's wall lizard)
Lineage: Eukaryota; Metazoa; Chordata; Lepidosauria; Squamata; Lacertidae
Source: the annotation of a GenBank genome assembly
GUUGAAGAUGCACAAAUGGAAGUUGAAAAGCAGCAAAGAAAAAGGUAAUACAGCGCUAGGGUGUUUUAUUCCUCAUGUCCUCUUUUCCUUUCCUUUAUGGGAUUUCCGUUGCAUGUUUCUUGCCCUUUUCCUUUAUUGCAGCUGGGUUUUGCCCUCAGUUUGGCAGAUCAUGACACAGCUUUUCUGCUGAAAUUACAUUUAUCAUUGCACCAGCACUACCACUAUAUAUCUUAGCAACUAUGUACACAUGGGCUUAAGUGAAACUGUCUUAUAUGCCUCCAAGUGAGAUUUAUUACAGCAAGCCUUUGAAAUGCCUGUCUGUCUGUAUUUCAAUCACCCCAUGUAAGACCAAGAUAGUCUCUUAUAUUGAAGUGGCCAGUUAGUAAAAAAAAAUCCUUUGAAUUGAAGAAGUAACCACACAGCAUACUUUUCCUCUCUCUCUCUCUCUUUCACACUCCUAUAUAAUCCUAAUAAUGCCACUUACUGAUUGAUCUAUACCAAAUAGGGUAGAUAUAUUCAAAAGAGGACAGGGCUCCUACACUUUAUAACUUACAUGACAAGCUACAGUAUAUCUGCUGAAAUUCCCCCUUUUCAUAACUAUUUGUUGCACCUGGACACCCUAACACCACAUGCCACUCUAUGAUUUAAAAAAAUGUGUAAGAAAAUCUAUAUCUAAAUAUGUAUUGUAUUACAAAAUAUGAAUUUAAAUACAUAUUUUAUCUCAACAUACCCAUUAUAAACAAUUUUUUAUCAUGAAAUACCAAUUUUUAUGCAUUUUCAUACAUUACUGAGACGAAAAUUGUAUUGCAAAAUUCAGGGAAAUGUGAAAUCUGAAUGAUAAUUACAUUCCAAACUGCAUAGGAUGGUCUGCUUAAAAAUGUGGACUGAUCACAAUUUUCCUUCUUAUCUAGGUGGAAGCAACCUGUUGUCUCUAGGAUGUUGCCAAGGCUCAGAUCUCCAUACGCUUAGAGCUCAGGGAAGUAUAUGAUCAGGUCUCUACUUGACACUUGAAGGUUCCAUGCUCAGAACUUUUCAUAGACUACAGUGAUGACAAUAUUCUAGAGAAAAGGGG